Molecule: ribosomal RNA, 547 nt
Filed under: uncultured bacterium
Lineage: Bacteria
Description: bacterial SSU rRNA
Rfam family: Bacterial small subunit ribosomal RNA
Source: RNAcentral
AAUAGAUACCCAGGUAGUCCACGCCGUAAACGAUGAGUGCUAAGUGUUAGGGGGUUUCCGCCCCUUAGUGCUGCAGCUAACGCAUUAAGCACUCCGCCUGGGGAGUACGGUCGCAAGACUGAAACUCAAAGGAAUUGACGGGGGGCCCGCACAAGCGGUGGAGCAUGUGGUUUAAUUCGAAGCAACGCGAAGAACCUUACCAGGUCUUGACAUCCCAUUGACCACUAUGGAGACAUAGUUUUCCCUUCGGGGACAACGGUGACAGGUGGUGCAUGGUUGUCGUCAGCUCGUGUCGUGAGAUGUUGGGUUAAGUCCCGCAACGAGCGCAACCCUUGUUCUUAGUUGCCAUCAUUUAGUUGGGCACUCUAAGGAGACUGCCGGUGACAAACCGGAGGAAGGUGGGGAUGACGUCAAAUCAUCAUGCCCCGUUAUGACCUGGGCUACACACGUGCUACAAUGGACGGUACAAACGGUUGCCAACCCGCGAGGGGGAGCUAAUCCGAUAAAACCGUUCUCAGUUCGGAUUGUAGGCUGCAACUCGCCUACA